UGACGGGCGUUUUCUCAAAGCUGGUUAGGACGUGUCCAUCUGAGUUCUUCCCAGUCGGGUCCUUCAGAGGCUAGGCAAGACAACGUCCUAGCAUUCGGAGAUAAACAGCCAGCGUCUCUCGGAAGCGAACAGCGGCAUGGAUUGGGCAACUUUAUGAUAAUUCCCAACAUCUGGCAGCUGAGUUCCCACAGUUUCUCUGCCAUGUCAUCGUCUCUCGCUGCCCUGGAACAGCCUGCAGGGCCACAGUUGCUGUGGGAGUUGAAAGCUCUGGUUCCACAGCACAGUAGAUGGAUGUCUGAGCUCCCUGCACCUUGGUCUUGGUGAAAGGCCUGACAAUCUUCCACAUCACCAGCAGGGGGAUGUUCAUGUGUCUCUUCAGCUCUGUGCGCACCACUCCCGGGUGGAUGACAUACACAUUUACUCCUGUAUCUAAAAAGGGGUGGUCUCAGCUUUUGCAACAUCUCUACAUGCCAUGAUAAUCCUUGCACCUAUGGAGCCAGCGUCACAGGAAAGCAGACAGCCUAUAGUUAUUACAUUACAAAGGCCAGCAAACAAUUAAACAAAUCAAUGAUGAGCAUACAAAAAACUCUUUGAUUAUCUGUGGCCUUACUAUUAACAUGGGGAUAGACACCUUUCACUGAGAGUGUAUUUGUGUAUGAGUGAAAGUUCUAGAACAUUGGAAAAAUGUACCUCUUUUGGCGAGGUCCCUGGUUGUUUCUUUGCCAAUCCCUGUGUUGGCACCUGUGAUGAUCACUGUUUUGCCAUCAAGUCUUGCUGAGGAAGACCACUGACCACAAAAAAAUGCUCUGUGAUGGGAAGUUUGAGAGAAAUUUAACCAUUUUAGGGCUGUGCAAUUAAUCUAAUUUCGAUUAUGAUCAUGGCUUACAACGAUUUUAAAACCAACAUAUUUGAAAUAGAACGAUUAAAGUGCUGUAUUCCUUUUCUCAGCGAUGUUCUCCUUUUGUCUUGUGUUCAGCGUACUCAUUUCCUUUACAGCGGUGUGCUUUCACCCCUCCCUAAAAGGCCAAACUCAACCGAGUAAGUAGUGCCACUGCUGAAAUUUCACAGUUUAAUAUUCAUGAUGAACCAUAAUGUUACAUUUGUUAGCAAGCAAAAUAUAUAUUACUUGGAUGCUACAGGCCUAAUCUACACGGCAAAUUACUAAAGUCAGCCAGAAGUUAAGUAGCCUAAGGGUGUACCUUAUUGUAAAAGACUAGUGGUGGAGGUGGAAUAAUUUUUUUUUUGCACCAAUUCAUUAUUUUUGCAGCUAUUCUGUUUUUCAUUCAUUUAUUUUUGCACCUAUUUCUGUCAGAAAUGUUAGUACUUCCAGAUAUUUUAUCAUCUUCCUUUAUGUGUGAGAAGCAUUGUUUCAUGUACAUUACACAUACCAAACCCUGUUACUAUGUGGCACUAAUAAACAGGCUUAAGCAUUAA
Long non-coding RNA from Clupea harengus (Atlantic herring), 1434 nucleotides. RefSeq lists it as uncharacterized. The record is from RefSeq and is a predicted model, not a curated record. Lineage: Eukaryota; Metazoa; Chordata; Actinopteri; Clupeiformes; Clupeidae.